Long non-coding RNA from Leptidea sinapis, 1468 nucleotides. RefSeq lists it as uncharacterized. Lineage: Eukaryota; Metazoa; Arthropoda; Insecta; Lepidoptera; Pieridae. The transcript is spliced from 2 exons. The record is from RefSeq and is a predicted model, not a curated record.
UUGGUCAGCCGUCUUCGGUCAGCGCUCUGCCGUAGAGAAAAUUAAAAAGAAAAACUAAAUUAUAAUGAUUUAUUUGCUGAAAACGCCGAACCUGGGUUAUUAAUAUAUAUUUUUAGGAAUUUUCUGCGAAAACGAUCUCGAAACUCGAUUGCAUCAUAGUUCGUAAUUAAAAACUAUUGCUGUUAGCUGAUAACUGAUAACGGUUGCAUCAUAGUUUGUAAUUAAAAUCUGUUAGCUGAUAUUCAAGAAAAUGGGAAAUACAAGUGCUAAAUCAGUUGAAGUAAAGGGUCCGGAAGCACCUGUUACUGGGGAAAAACCAAAAUUAAAACCCUGCUGCGCCUGUCCAGAAACAAAACAAGCGAGAGAUGCAUGUAUAAUUGAAAAAGGUGAAGAAUUUUGUGGACCCCUUAUUGAGGAGCAUAAAGCAUGCAUGAGAAAAAUGGGAUUUAAUAUAUAAACAUACAUCAAACAUUAAAAUUUGUAGAACACAUAGUAUACUAGUAUUUCACCAACAUAUUUUAUACUAUUGUGAUUUAUUAAACAAAAAUUAAAAGUUAGCAGUGUGCUACAGUAGAUUGGAGGAUUGAGGAUUCUGACUACCUAUGCCUAGGGUUUCAAAUUUAUCCUUACUCACCAAAAAUCAUGUUUAUCUUGCUAAUGGGGCUAAAAGCCUGGGGUUCAACACCCCCAUUGGCCUAACCACCUAUCAGGGACUGGGUGUCGGAAUUCUUAUAUAAAAAAAAAUUAUUUCCAGCAAUAUUCAUCUAGCACCCUGCUAUCCUCAACAAAUUUUUUCUUUAACCUGAAAUCCGAUAUUGGCUGUUUUUAUUCACAUUUAUUUUUAUUGAAAAGAUCAACUGGCAUUUGUGUGCCUUAACCUAAGAAAAUAUAAAUAUUCCAAGAAUUGUUGUUCAUUAGUAUUUUUCAUAAUUUUUUAUGCAUUUCAAAGUUAUCUGGUUUUCAGGAGCCACAUCAUUCAUUAAAUUUGUUAAGCUUAACUGCUAAAUAGUGUAUUUAUUUGUGUGAUAUUUAGGCAUUUGGUUAUAGCCAAGUAACUUAAUUAAAAAUAAGAUUUAGGCUUUUAAAUUUAUUAACAACUAUAAUUUUCCUGUAUAUGUUAUUGAUGAUAUCCAUUAUAUUGUUAUUUGAAAUUACCCUGUGGCUUUUUACAGUUAAAUCUAGCUGUAUCAGCCUUAUUUCAUAUUGCAACUUGUGGAGUUUGAAAUGUUAUAUCUUUGUUUAGCUCAUGUUGCUGUACCUACAGAUUAAUUUAAAUCAAUACCCUGAUCCUAUUACAAAAUAAGGUUUAAAAAAUUUUGAGUUGUAUAAAUGUUAUAUCAAUGUAACUUGAUGUGUACUGAAACUUAAUUUUGUCUCUUAGAUAUAAUUUAACUUAGAUUGUGUGCUUAUAGUUUACAAUAAAAAAUUUAUUUAAAAUGGAUUGUAAAUAAAUUUGUUUGUUUUAUAA